Molecule: long non-coding RNA, 85 nt
Organism: Ipomoea nil (Japanese morning glory)
Lineage: Eukaryota; Viridiplantae; Streptophyta; Magnoliopsida; Solanales; Convolvulaceae
Exons: 3
Source: RefSeq, a predicted model, not a curated record
UAAUUUCUAAACCUUGUUGCGGUGAACGUGGAUCAAACACGUGACCUUCAGAUCUUCAGUCUGACGCUCUCCCAACUGAGCUAUC